AUCCAGAUGACGGGUGCCAAAUAGGACGAAAUGCGCAUCCUGGAU
This 45-nucleotide non-coding RNA is filed under the name Trichobilharzia regenti. Lineage: Eukaryota; Metazoa; Platyhelminthes; Trematoda; Strigeidida; Schistosomatidae. The record is from RNAcentral.